RNAcentral lists this unclassified non-coding RNA (229 nucleotides) under uncultured fungus. Its description in RNAcentral is "partial contains 5.8S ribosomal RNA, internal transcribed spacer 2, and large subunit ribosomal RNA". The record is from RNAcentral. Lineage: Eukaryota; Fungi.
AACGCACAUUGCGCCCGCUAGUAUUCUGGCGGGCACGCCUGUUCGAGCGUCAUUUCACCCCUCCAGCUCCGCUGGGUGUUGGGCCACAGGGUAACCUGGGCCUGAAAAGUAGCGGCGGACGUGUCGUCGUCUGAGCGUAGUAAUUACCUCGCUUCUGAAGACGAUGUGGUACCGCCUAAAACCUUCUCAAGUUGACCUCGGAUCAGACGGGAAUACGCGCUGAACUUAA